GGGCAGCCAAGACUGACACCACUUCAUAAAGAACCAUGAACGUAAAACUAAGUAUAAGCCCAGGGAAGGUCUGGGGACAAAAGACCAGUCAAACCAUCCACAACUGAGAAAGCAUGGCGGCAGUGACUCUCCGUUCCUUAUGCUCCUACCUCUUAAACCCAUCCCCACCUUUUCUUUCUCCCACACAGAUCAGCCUCUUGGUUUCUCCUCUUUAUAGAAACACCUCCUUUUCCCAGCAGGCACAGAUGUCUUCUGGACUCUUGCUUAUGAUGGAAAAUGACUUUUUGACAUACAUAUACUAUUGCGUUAGAUCCCUAAAGGCCAAGACCCCAUCUUCUCCCUCUGAUCCAGCCCUGCCACAUAAUUUUGGUAAUCCAGAUUCAGUGAGGACUCAAAAAUUCAUUUGAUGGGAUGACUGAUGAUAAGGACAUCAAAAGAGGUCUGCUGCUUUGAUACAUCUUCUGCCACCCUCAUGAAACCCUGGUCUGAGUCCUCCUGGCAGAGAAAGGCAAAGAUUCACCAUAUUGAUGGAGGGAAGAGAAAAGGACCCUAGACCUUUGUGAAUCGACGCCCAGAGAAACGCAAAUAUAAUUGGGUCUUCUAGCUCUACAAUACUCGGUCAUUAAUUCUCUGUCAUCACCUCCUAUCCUUAGUGCCCCCCUCCCCUCUUCUCAUCACUUCCAUGGUCCUCAGCCCAGUCAACAAAUCCUGACUAUUUCAGCAGCAGCAACAGCAGCAUUGCCAGCUAGCAUCAUAUGGUGCCCACUCUGGGGCAGUCACUGGGGUAAACCAUUUAUAGAUAUCUUAUCAGACCCUCACAGACCCUCGGGAGAUAAGUGCCAUUAUUGUCCCCAUUUAAGAGUUGAGGAAACUGAGGCAGACAGAUAUUAAGUAGCUUGCCCAGUAUCACAUAGCUAGUAAGUAGCGGAGGUCAAAUUUGAAUUCAGGUCUUCCUGACUCCAAACCCAGCAUCCUAUCCCACUGUGUCAAUCUAGUUGCCCAUUUCAGCACAGAUGCUCUAACAGAAAUGUUUCAGUAGUGGCCGUCUCUGGAGAGACUGCCCAGAGGCUCUAAUAUCACAAUCCAUUCAGAUUCCUAACAUUUUGUGAUUUUAUGACUUAUGUCAAUUAUAGCCAAAAAUCCAUGGAAUUAUGACAU
Molecule: long non-coding RNA, 1158 nt
Filed under: Monodelphis domestica (gray short-tailed opossum)
Lineage: Eukaryota; Metazoa; Chordata; Mammalia; Didelphimorphia; Didelphidae
Description: lncRNA (ENSMODG00000030841.2)
Source: RNAcentral